UCUCCGUUGGUGAACCAGCGGAGGGAUCAUUACCAAGUUCCAGCAACUCACAACCCUUGAGAACCGUACCCCAGUCUGUUCUCGUUGCUUCCGGCAGGCGGGGGGGGCCACCUGGCCCCUCCCCCUGCCGGGGGCGGCGGGCCCGCUGAACCUUUAUAUCACAACCACUAAAACCCGUCUGAGCAAAACAAAAAAUAAUCAAAACUUUCAACAACGGAUCUCUUGGCUCUG
RNAcentral lists this unclassified non-coding RNA (231 nucleotides) under plant metagenome. Its description in RNAcentral is "partial contains small subunit ribosomal RNA, internal transcribed spacer 1, and 5.8S ribosomal RNA". The record is from RNAcentral.